Long non-coding RNA from Orcinus orca (killer whale), 659 nucleotides. RefSeq lists it as uncharacterized. Lineage: Eukaryota; Metazoa; Chordata; Mammalia; Artiodactyla; Delphinidae. The record is from RefSeq and is a predicted model, not a curated record. The transcript has 4 exons.
CUGCUGCACGGUCGCGCACGCGCAGUUGCCUGCAAAAACCCGGAAGCAGAGCGAGGGGCACAGUCCUCGGUUUUUCUGGUUCAACCCGGGUAUUUGGGACGCCCCCAAGCCCUUGAUCUGCCACACCUGAGGUUCAGGGGUUGUCACGUACGUUAAAACCCCUUCAUCCGCUUGUUCCGCGCCUGAGAUUCCCCUUCAAAUAGUCACGUGGAAUGGAACCUCCAUAAUGUUUAAAGUGCCUCCGGUGAUUCUGAUCUGUACCCAGCUUUGAGCACCAAGGCUCUGGCUCCUCCAUUUAUGAAGCUGAGAUCAGCCCAUGAUCCAGAGAGGAUUGACUUCUCAAGACUGAUCUUUGCCUGAGGAAGAAAUCUGGAAGAGGAGGGAGAGGAAAGAACAGGAGUCAGGAAUGGCUCUUUCUCAGUGGUUGAGAAUCCGCCUGCAAAUGCAGGGGACACGGGUUCGAUCCCUGGCCCAGGAAGAUCCCACAUGCCACGGAGCAACUAAGCUCGUGUGCCACAACUACUGAGCCCGCGUGCUGCAACUACUGAAGCCUGUGCGCCUAGAGCCCGUGCUCCACAAUGAGGGAAGCCACUGCAAUGAGAAGCCUGCGCACCGCAACGAAGAGCAGCCCCCGCUCGCCGCAACUAGAGAAAGCCCGC